RNAcentral lists this ribosomal RNA (773 nucleotides) under uncultured Neocallimastigales. Its description in RNAcentral is "partial large subunit ribosomal RNA". It matches the Rfam family "Eukaryotic large subunit ribosomal RNA", at positions 18 to 644 of the family's 3401-position model. Lineage: Eukaryota; Fungi; Neocallimastigomycota; Neocallimastigomycetes; Neocallimastigales. The record is from RNAcentral.
CAGACGAUGCGUCAUGCAUAUCAAUAAGCGGAGGAAAAGAAACUAACAAGGAUUCCCCUAGUAACGGCGAGUGAAGCGGGAAGAGCUCAAAUUUGAAAUCUUAAAGGGUUUCCCUUUACGAAUUGUAGUUUAAAGAAGUGUUUUCUGUUGAGGUUUUGGUAAAAGUUCUUUGGAAUAGGACAUCAUAGAGGGUGAGAAUCCCGUAUUUGACCUUUACUUUCAACUUUGUGAUACACUUUCAAAGAGUCGGAUUGUUUGGGAAUGCAGUCCAAAAUGGGUGGUAAAUUUCAUCUAAAGCUAAAUAUUGGCGAGAGACCGAUAGCGAACAAGUACCGUGAGGGAAAGAUGAAAAGAACUUUGAAAAGAGAGUUAAACAGUACGUGAAAUUGUCAAAAGGGAAGCGUUUGACACCAGUGUUGUUUUUCUGAAAAUCAAUUAAAGAACUGUUUAUGCUAAGCUGUUUAGACUUUAUCAGCUAUCUGUUUAGUUUUGAGCUUUUCUUUAAUGCACUUUUCAGUUAACAAGUCAACAUCAAUUUCUUUUGCUGUAAAAAAGCUUGAGGAAGGUGGCUUGAGAUUCGUCUUAAGUGUUUAUAGCCUCUUGCCUAUGCAGUCGGAGAGAUUGAGGUCUGCAGCGUAGAUCCUUCGGGGCUAAAUGCAUUUGUGCUAAGUUAUAACAUUUUAUAGACAACUUGUUGACUAUGAUUUGUCUUGCAGCUUACUCGCUUAUGUUAUUUUACCUACGCUUAGGAUGUUGAAUCUGUGCGAGACUAC